GGGUAGAGGAAAGGGAGGCUUGUUGGAGCUCAUCUAUCUCAAUCUGACUGUGGAGAAGGAGUCAACCCCUUAUCAUCUUUUGAGAUGAGUGUGCACAAAAACACUUGUGCAUGAAGGAGAUUUAAGUGGAAAAGUCGAUGCACAGAGACAGUCCCACUCUCUCGGCGUUGGAAGCCUGGGUCCAGUGGCAUGAAAAAUCUUUACACCUGGAGACUUCCUCAGCUGCAUUGGAUGGCCGUGUUGUCUUUUGUGCUCCAAACUGCCCAAAGCACUCCACAGUGCCUUGCUGCGUCGCCAUCUCAGCCGUUGAACCUUCUUGUUGGUUUCUUCCCCCUGUUCCGCAGAAGCAGUCUUCACAUGCUGGACAACAUAUGGUAGGAUUUUGGUUUCUGAUCCACUCUGCUAUUUGCUUCCGCUUUACAGGUGAGUUCAUCCCAUUCACAUUCAAAGUUAUGAUUAAUACUUGUGUAUUUCCCAACAUUUUCAUUUUCACUCCCUGUCCUGCUCUUUCCUCUUUCAUUAUUUUCUUCUACACCAAUAUUCUGUUUUUAAUCAGUCCCCCUAAUCCAUACCCGUAUUUUACUUUCCUUAUUCUCCCUUUUUAUUCCUCUCUUAAUUUUCUUUUGGGGUCUUUUUAAGCUAGCCCACACACUCUCCCCCCUUGAAUUACUUCCCUCCCUACCCUCCCUUUCUUCCCCCUCCCUUUUUAUUGCCCUCCUAUAUCACUCUAAGAACAUACAUUAAAUAAGUGUAGACAUUUAUUUGUAGACAAAAAUGUCUUUAGAAGUUAAGCUUCAGGUAGUUAUAGGUUUGCUGUUACUGUGAUCACUUGGGAUCAUGACAUACUAUCAGGUGACCCUACAUCAAACAGCCAAAGGAUCAAAUGAUGGUUCAUAUCCUAUCCUUCCCAUACUUUUGAAUUGUGAUGUUAGUCUCCAUCUCAUUUAUAUAUAACUAUUCCUAAACACUCCCCCACUGCUUCCUUUCCCUCUGCUAGGGAAAUUUCCCACUUUUGAGCUUGGAGUCCCUUAAGGACAGUUAUAACUAUCCUUCACUGGAACAAUAGUAAUUUCAUAGAGCCCAUUGGCAAAAUUACCUUAUCCCUCUUUUCCCCUAACAUUCUCAUUCUCAGCUCCCCAGAUAAACUCAUGACUUUAGCAAGUAAUGAUUACAGGAAGUCUCUGCAAAGAAUGGUCAAAUUAAGAUAUCUUUUGUAGAUCUCUUUAUAUAUUUCCCUUAAAAUAUUUUUUUCAUAAAUACCUUAUUAAGGGAAUGCUCUGAAAAUGUUACAACCAGCCAUUUAACAAAAAUUUCAUAAUCUUUUAUCUUUGAGCUUCCUUUUCAUUAAUCCCACAUAUCUAAUUAAUUGUCAAAUCUUGUCAUUUCUGUCUCUAUCUCUCUUAUAGCUCCUUCUUUCUAUUCAGAUACUAACAAACAGUUCAUGCUUUCAUUACUUCUUGCCUAAUCCACUACAAUAACCCCCUCAUUUAUCUUCCUGCCUCCAAUAUCUAUUUAAUCUAUUUUCAAUGUCAAAGAUGUCAUAAUGACUUCUCUAAAAACUAAGAUAUAUCAAUGUCACUCUCCAACUGGAUCCAGGAUAAUAUAUCAUUUCACCUUAAUUUUGUCUUUAAAACAUUCUAGUUUUUUAUAAGUUUUAGAAUGUCCAUGGAGGACAAGUAUACAAAUUGUAGAAAGUAAAUUUACACAUAUUGGAGAUGUGCUCAAAUAUUUUUACCUAAUCAUUUAUAGGGGUGUGUGAUCAAGGAAAUUUGGAAAGCAUUGUCCAUUCUGUUGCAAUUAUGGGAAUAGAAAAGAACUAAGAAAGGAAAUGAAUAAAAGGAAAGAAAGAUAAGCA
RNAcentral lists this long non-coding RNA (1855 nucleotides) under Monodelphis domestica (gray short-tailed opossum). Its description in RNAcentral is "lncRNA (ENSMODG00000043630.1)". Lineage: Eukaryota; Metazoa; Chordata; Mammalia; Didelphimorphia; Didelphidae. The record is from RNAcentral.